This 77-nucleotide transfer RNA is filed under the name Pseudomonadota bacterium. RNAcentral's name for it is "tRNA-Thr". It matches the Rfam family "tRNA". Rfam says of the family: Transfer RNA (tRNA) molecules are approximately 80 nucleotides in length. Their secondary structure includes four short double-helical elements and three loops (D, anti-codon, and T loops). The record is from RNAcentral. RNAcentral also lists the same sequence under 2 other names. Lineage: Bacteria; Pseudomonadati; Pseudomonadota.
GCCGCCGUAGCUCAACCUGGCAGAGCACCGCACUUGUAAUGCGGGGGUUGGGGGUUCGACUCCCCCCGGCGGCUCCA